UGCUCUCAAUCCAUUUUGUUUUACCUUUGGGCUCUCUGAUGACAUGGCUGAAGCCAAGCCGUUUGCACACGUGAUGAAAAGCUUGGUUGCCUGGGUUUGACCACUGAUCCAUGUAGUCGCUAGAGCAUGUCCAGAUCAAGUUGUUAAGAGCAUCAUAGCUGGCCCCUGCCCUGCCACUUGAGCACCACGACCCAAAGAACUGCCAGGGGCAUCAAUCAGGUCUACACGACUGACAAACUGACCAUCAUUCAAGUUAAACACCAAAUUAGAGGUCAGAACUGAGAAACACAAAGCGUUAGAAUUGAGAGAGAGGAGAGAGAAAGAGAGAGAGAGAUAAAGAAAACAUGCAAGCAAAAAGGAAAAACAUUCAAUCCAUUGCCACUUUGUAGAGUAUAAUAACAUCCCACCACCACACUGACUCAAUUGCUAAUAAUUACAAUAUUUAAGCAUUACUGGCUUGUGGUCUUAGAAUUUGAUCAGACAUCUGACAUUUCUUACUCUUAAGGGAAGAAAGGCCACUGGAUCCACCAAAAAGUGAGCGAGUCGCAGAACUCCCAGCUACACCAGGAGGGGAGGCCAGCAUUACCAGGUAGGUCCCACAGACAUACAUGGGUGUUUUCCUCAAAGUCUUAAGAGGAAGACCGCAGCUAGCAUUUACUACUAGGAAGAAAGGGAAAAAUACAUUGGCACAAAAAUGCUCUUUUAUCUCAUUACUAUCACCACAUUGUUAAUCCUUAUUACUUGUCAGCCCUGGUCAAUUUAUAGAUUUAUUUUCAUACCUAGCUUCAUACUGUUAUCUAUAAUGCGAUUCCAUUGUGUGUUACACAGUGGUGGAAUAUACACAUGCAUAAUGCGACAUGUAACAAAAUUUAAUUCCUACACUCAAACUCUAAGAGAAACGAACCAAAGAAUGUCCGCACAAUCGCUCAAAUUACGGCAUGAUGCUGGCCUAAGACACGGCAGAAAAUUUACUCAUAAAUGUUUGUGGUUCCUAUAAUAUACACUAGACUAGUAAUGUUUACCGGACAUACUGGAAAAAAAUCCGGUCAUCGCGUUUCAGUGUUUAGUUUGAGCUAGAUUGUUUUGGACUAUGCAUAGUACCGUAUAUGUGAUUGUGGGGGUGGGGGCGUGGUCAAGCGACAGCUGUGGAUGGAGAGGACGCGGGUCAAAUCAGCUGGUAAAGAGUGUUUUGGAUUAGCCCGAGUUUACUUGUGUGUCUGUCUGUGCUUUAAGUGCCUCCUUUAAUGAGAAAGAGAGCGAGAGAGCCGAAUAGCACAAAAGAUGCGUGUGUGGGGUUGAAGUUGGAUAUUGUGAGCAAAUCAGUGUACAAGUUACAGGAGAAGCAUGUGAACACAGACCUUAUUUAGGUGCGUCAUUGCAUACAUACAUUGUCUAACAUGUGUCUGCUUCAUUUAAAUAUUUUUUACUGGUCAUUGUGUCCGACAGCUUUUGAUUUUAUAGGACAUUAAGAAGUUUUAACUGUCGAAAACCGGUAUUUACCGGCUAACGGAAACUCUGGCGGACACCUGAAUAUUGAGCAUCCCAUUCCAAAACCAUUGGCAUUAAUGUUGAGCUGUUCCCCCUUUGUUGCUAUAACAGCCUCCAUUUUUCGAGGAAGGCAUUCCACUAGAUUUUGGACUGUGGCUGGGGGGGGAAUUUGCCCAUUCAGCCACAAGAGCACAAACUGUUGAAAACUGGUGUCCAGCAAGCAGGCCUGGCAUGAAGUUGGUGCUCCAAUCCUUCCCAAAGGUGUUCAGUGGGUUUGAGGUCAGGGCUCUGUACAGCCACAGAGUUCCUCCACUCUGUCUAUACAGACCUCAAUUUGUGAACUGUCAUGAUUAUAGGUUUGGGCCUCUUAGUUUUCAGUGAAAGGAGAUCUUCAUGCUACAGCAUACAAAGACAUUCAACUUUGUGCCAACAGUUUUGCGAAGGCCAACAUAUGGGUGUGAUUAUCAGGUGUCCACAUACUUAUGGGAAUAUAGUAUAGUAUACAAUUCCUACAUCCUGUACUGAAUAUUUUUAGUCAUAUAAAUAUAUCCAAAUAAAUAAAUAAAUAAAUAAAUAGAUAGAUGUCCCAAAGUAUAGCUUAUGGUUGUGAUUGUGUUUCAGCGUGGCACAAGUACAACACACUAACGAAACUGAAUAGACUAUCAACUUUAUUAAUAGGCACUAUUUCAAAGAGAAUCAGAUAUUUGCUCGUCCGAACAUGUCAAAAAAGACAAUAAUUCUCAUGGGGUGUACUUAUCUUUCCACAUGACUAUGUGCCUUUCUACGAACCCAAUUUCAAAAAAGUUCGGACGCUGUGUAAAAUGUAAAUAAAAACAGAAUUCAAUGAUUUGCAAAUCUCAUAAACCCAUAUGUUAUUCACAAUAGAACAUAGAAAACAUUUCAAAUGUUUAAACUGAGGAAAUGUACCAUUUUCAGAAGAAAAAAAGGUAAUUUUGACUUUGAUGGCUGCAACACAUCUCAAAAAAGCUGGGACGGUGCAAUAAAAGGCUGGAUAAGUAAGUGUUACUAAAAAGAAACAGCUGGAGGUUGAUUGGAAACAGGUCAGUAAGAUGAUUGGGUAUAAAAUGAGUAUCUUAGAGAGGCAGAGACUUUCAGAAGUAAAGAUGGGCAGAGGGUCACCAAUCUGCAAAAAACUGCAUCUACAAUUUGUGGAACAAUUUCAGAAUAACUGUUCCUUAACAUAAAAUGGCAAAGACUAUGAAUAUCUCAUCAUCUACAGUGCAUAAUAUCAACAAAAGAUUAAGAGAAUCUGGAGAAAUCUCUGUGAAAAAUCAAUAUUGCUUGCCUGUGAUCUUCAGGCCCUCAGGCGGCACUGCAUUAAAAACAGGCCUGAUUCUGUAAUGGAAAUCGCUGCAUGAGCUCAGAAACACCUCCAGAACUCAUUGUCUGUGAACACAGUUCUCCAUGCCAUCCACAAAUUCUGGUUAAAGCUCUGUCAUGCAAAGAAGAAGCCAUAUGUGAACAUGAUCCAGAAACGCUGCUAGCUUCUCUGCGACAAAGCUCAUUUAAAAUGGAUCGAGGAAAAGGGGGAAACUGUUCUGUGGUCAGACGAAUCGAAAUUUUAAAUUCUUUUUGGAAACCAUGUACACCGUGUCCUCUAAACGAAAGAGGACUAAAGAGGAGGGGGACCAUUCAGCUUUUUAUCAGCGCUCAGUUCAAAAGCCUGCAUCUCUGAUGGUAUAGGGAUGCAUUAGUGCCUAUGGAAUGGGCAGCUUGCACAUCUGGAAAGGCAACAUCAAUGCUGAAAGGUAUAUACAGGUUUUAGAGCAACAUAUGCUUCCAUCCCAACUUUACUUCUGAGAUUUCUGCCUCUCUAACAUACUCUUUUUAUACGCAAUCAUGUUACUGACCUGUUGCCAAUUAACCUAAGUAAUUGCAAAAUGUUCCUCCAGCUGUUUCUUUUUACUAACACUUAUUUUUCCAGCCUUUUGCUGCCCCCGUCCCAACUUUAUUGAGACGUGCUACGGUCAUCAAUUUCAAAAUUACCGCUUUUUUCCUUAAACUGGUACAUUUCCUCAGUUUAAACAUUUGAUGUGUUUUCCAUGUUCUAUUAACAUAUCGAUUUAUGAGAUUUGCAAAUCAUUGCAUUCGGUUUUUAUUUACAUUUUACCCAGCGUCCCAACUUUUUUGGAAUUGAGGUUGUAAAUCGUGUCCAAUCAAAUUAAUUUGCUACAGGUGGAUACCAGUCAAGUUCUACAGACGUCCCAAUUAUAAUCAAAGCAAAUGUCCUGCACCUGAGCUCAAUUUGGAAUGCCUUUAGCCAAAGGUCUGAAUUCUUAUCUAAGCUUUUGCAUGGUCAUUGUUGGUUAUUGUGUGUAGAUGGUAAUGGUACAAAAGUCAGUUUAAUCCAGAACACAAUAAAAUGUACAAAAAUUGAAGGGGAUACUUUCCAAAUCCAUAUCAAAUAUUUUCGAAUUCCAAUUUGUAUAAACAUAAAAAUGCAAAACAACAACUUGCAACUUCCAUUUUCCACCACUUUCAUCAGGUUGUUUAAGUUACUGGGGAGACAUCAUGGAGAAAAAACAAGAACAAAUCUGAAUUCUAUUGGAAUCAUGGGCACAUUACCGAGUGUGAAUUUACCAGUUUGCUCCUCUUUCACAGGGUUUGUGAUGGUGGAGCCAGUGAGGGCAGCAAGCGUGGCCGAGUGAGAGGUGCGGAAACGAGACAUGCGACUCAUCAGCAGCUCAUUCAGACAUUUUGAUGACUCCCCCUCUUUUCGUGACAAGAUCACUCGCUCCCGGACAGCACUGGCCACACACAGCCCGGACUCAAUCUGCGGGAAAGAUAAAUGGGAAUUAUUAUUCAUGCCAUUCAUAAGCUUAUUGGACUAAUAUUGAAAUAUUUUUCCAGCAUAUACGAAUAUUCUGAUUUGCCCAUUACUAGCUCUGAAAAUCUCUGAACACAAAUUAGAUUCUCUUACACACAGAUGGGUGACAAAUGAAAGGAGGACAACAAAGAGCGUUAAUACUGUGUCGGAACGCCACAAGCCACCAAAACAGCGUCACGGUACAGAUUUGACAAAUUUCUGUAAAUGUAACGGAGGAACGAACAGCAUUCCUCCAUUCUUCUCGGUUGGUGUUUUGAUGAUAGGAGUGAUGAACGCUGCCUAACAUGCUAUUCCAAAAUCCCCCAUAGGUUUUCAUCGGACGACUAUGAACACCAUAGCAUGUGAUUUACAUUAUUUUCAUACUCAUCAGACUAUGUAGUGAGUACUUGUUUCCUGUGGGUAGGGGUGUUGCCAGUCAUCCUGGAAGAGACUACUCACAUCAGGAUAGACAGGUUUCAUUAUAGAAUAUAGAUUGUCAUUCAGAAGAACUUUGUAACUUCCUUCUAAGGGGAUAAGUGGACGUGAACCAUGACAGCAAACGCCCACACAAAUUUCUGUCACCAAGUU
Ictalurus punctatus (channel catfish) is the source of this 4903-nucleotide long non-coding RNA. The record is from Ensembl. Lineage: Eukaryota; Metazoa; Chordata; Actinopteri; Siluriformes; Ictaluridae.